RNAcentral lists this ribosomal RNA (455 nucleotides) under uncultured organism. RNAcentral's name for it is "bacterial SSU rRNA". It matches the Rfam family "Bacterial small subunit ribosomal RNA", at positions 346 to 794 of the family's 1533-position model. The record is from RNAcentral.
GUGCAGCAGUCGAGAAUUUUUCUCAAUGGGGGCAACCCUGAAGGAGCGACGCCGCGUGGAGGAUGAAGGCUUUCGGGUUGUAAACUCCUGUCAUUUGAGAACAAGUGGCCGAACCUAACUACUUCGGCCUUGAUAGUAUCAGAAGAGGAAGGGACGGCUAACUCUGUGCCAGCAGCCGCGGUAAUACAGAGGUCCCAAGCGUUGUUCGGAUUCAUUGGGCGUAAAGGGUGCGUAGGUGGCGCCGUCAGUGGGGUGUGAAAUUUCGGAGCUUAACUCCGAAACUGCAUUCCAUACUGCGGUGCUUGAGGACUGGAGAGGAGACUGGAAUUUACGGUGUAGCAGUGAAAUGCGUAGAGAUCGUAAGGAAGACCAGUGGCGAAGGCGGGUCUCUGGACAGUUCCUGACACUGAGGCACGAAGGCCAGGGGAGCAAACGGGAUUAGAUACCCCGGUAGU